CUAACGGCGUGAUCUUAUCAACUUGUAAACCCUAACCAGACUUUCCUCUUCACUUCUUCUUCACCACAUUGACACCUUCCUGAACCAACCUCCAUCUCCAUCUCCAUCACCACAUCGACCACCGCCCUCCAUCAUCGUCCUCAACCCCAAACGCCGUCGCACCCCGCCACCCACUCCGUCGCACACAUCCGCCUCCAUCUCCAUCACCACUUCCCCGUCGCUGGUUCCGACCACCACGGCCUCACCCGUCUUCUCCAACCACACCGGAACCAUCACGCACCACCGUUCGCCCUCACCUUCGCCUCCGGUCUCCGACAUCAGUUCCAAAUAAUUUACACAACCACAAAUUCACUCAGUUUAACGAAGCUUCCAAUUCGUGAUUUUGCUUUACUGAUUCCGUUUUAUUCAGGUUAUGUGUUAGAUUUGGAUAUCUGACCUGGCCACACGCAUACUUCAAGGAACUCUUUAAUCGGUUACGACUUUCAUGGAUUUAGGAUUUGUGUGUGUUUUGAAUUGAUUCGACGGUCAUUUGGGUGUAUGUUCUAUAUGAAUUUCCGCUUAUGCUGUGGGUUUUGGACGUAAGAGCUUGAUCAGGAUCUAUAUUGUUUGCGUUUUGUUGAUGCUGUCUGGAUAAAUAUAUAUAUAUAUAUAUAUAUAUAUAUAUAUAUAUAUAUAUAUAUUUUAAAAGAUCGGAUUCAGUAUUUGGUCAUUUUUAUUUUCAUUUUGUACAAUUAAAAUGGCAGCACUUUGUUGGCAUGUAUAUUGCAGUAGAGUAUAAUAGAAUGAUGGCAAGGCUGGUUGUGUGUAUGUGUAUUAUAUUCCUGGCUGGUUAUAGGUUAAGCUUUUUAAUUUCUAUUUA
Long non-coding RNA from Helianthus annuus (common sunflower), 859 nucleotides. RefSeq lists it as uncharacterized. NCBI's taxonomy places the organism in Eukaryota, Viridiplantae, Streptophyta, Magnoliopsida, Asterales, Asteraceae. The transcript is spliced from 2 exons. The record is from RefSeq and is a predicted model, not a curated record.